GACUCGACAGGAGACCUGGGAGGACUCGGACCUGUUUAAAUCUCAGCCGGCCUCUGACGUCGACGCCUUGGGGAAGAAGCGUUACGUAGCGCCUCACGUCGUCUACCAGACGGGGAAGAAACCAGAUGAGCCUUGCUCCAUCACGUCUUCCCUCAACUACUUCCCCGGAGACGAACCGGGAGAGACGAACGUGACGGCUCCGCCUAGGUCUCCUCCGUCCAACCUCACCGUGGUGACUGUGGAGGGAUGCCCGUCCUUCGUCAUCCUGGACUGGGAGAAAACUGACAACGACACAACCGAGUACGAGGUCAUCUCCACUGCUAAGGGACCCGACGGUGAGCAGGUCUCC
Non-coding RNA from Plectropomus leopardus (leopard coralgrouper), 349 nucleotides. The record is from RefSeq and is a predicted model, not a curated record. NCBI's taxonomy places the organism in Eukaryota, Metazoa, Chordata, Actinopteri, Perciformes, Serranidae.